RNAcentral lists this ribosomal RNA (390 nucleotides) under Triticum aestivum (bread wheat). RNAcentral's name for it is "partial small subunit ribosomal RNA". Lineage: Eukaryota; Viridiplantae; Streptophyta; Magnoliopsida; Poales; Poaceae. The record is from RNAcentral.
AUGGGGCGGAGGAUCCUCAACGACGCGCUGCGCACGAUGGUGAACGCGGAGCGGCGGGGGAAGGCGACGGCGCAACUCCAGCCCAUCUCCGGCGUCAUGAUCUCCUUCCUCAACAUCAUGAAGCACCGAGGUUACAUAAAAAAUUUCGAGGUCUUUGAUCCACAUAGGGUUGGAAAAAUCACCGUGGAACUUCAGGGAAGGAUUAAAGAUUGCAAAGCUCUCACUUACAGGCAGGACCUCAGAGCUACGGAAAUAGAAAAAUACAGAACUAGGAUGCUUCCAACACGGCAGUGGGGCUAUGUUGUGGUGACCACCCCAAAUGGCGUUUUAGAUCACGAGGAAGCAAUUAGGCAGAAUGUGGGUGGCCAGGUCCUCGGUUACUUCCAUUGA